AUAGUAACAUACCAUAUGUAUGAAAUUAUUGACAUAAUAGGCGUUUUAAUACACUUUACCUACCGACACAUUUUGCUCUUAAUCAUCAUCCAUAAAUGUCACAUCACCGCAUUCGCUAGCCAAGCACAAAGAGGGAAAUCUAUAUAUCUUGUUCCACACCAUUCUUUAUGAAAUAUUGCCAUACGCUUCACAUUCCUUCCAAAGAUCUAUUGUUUGUGUCAUUUCUGGGAAAUUGGAAACAUAAAUCGUUGUCAAAAUUUUGUCGACAUUACUCUGCUUAGGGUUAUGGGAUGCAUUCUCAUAUACCGUCUUAUUAAAGAUCCACUGCCAAUCAUUUCCGGUCCCCAUCAUAAUACGACUUCAAGGAAGCAUUUCAACGAUCAAUGUUAAGACGAUAAUGCAGAGUUGUAUGUCAAAAACAACGGCGAUGAUAAAAGUCAAUGGCGGUCAACAGUCUUGCGCUGCAAGGACUAUUACCUUGUUU
This 484-nucleotide long non-coding RNA is filed under the name Lactuca sativa (garden lettuce). Its description in RNAcentral is "long non-coding RNA (LSAT_LNC003320)". The record is from RNAcentral. Lineage: Eukaryota; Viridiplantae; Streptophyta; Magnoliopsida; Asterales; Asteraceae.